AUGGGAUAUAAAGAUGCUGACGCAUUUGAUGUGCGGGCUUGUGAGAAAAAAAAGUCAAGCACAAGCCAAUUUGUUGCUAUGUUGAACUGCGGGAUUUAUACAGAAAAUUUAAUAUCUACGAGGUACAGUAGUUGCUCUUGCGUUUUUGGUGAAAUUGGUCAUAUACAGAAUACUUCAUUACUAAUAAGCCUUUAUUUUUCUCUUGUGCUUCCCCGCUUAUUUAUGCAGGCUACGAAGGAGUAUAAAAAUCCCGUGGCUUACAUGACAAAUGUAACAACAUAUUUGAUUUCUUAUCUCUUUUCAAUUCUUCAUAUAUUUUCAUCUUUGCAUGCUAUCCUAAUAAGAAUUGCUGCUGCGGAAUUAUUUUUUUGA
Molecule: ribosomal RNA, 372 nt
Filed under: Triticum aestivum (bread wheat)
Lineage: Eukaryota; Viridiplantae; Streptophyta; Magnoliopsida; Poales; Poaceae
Description: partial small subunit ribosomal RNA
Source: RNAcentral